AAAUUAUUUAUGUCGUACUUUUUAGGUUACCUGCUACAAACUCGGUUACACGACAUUUUCCCGAAAACUAGAUGAGAAAAUGUUGGUACUAACCAAAUUCUCUAGGCAAUACCGUUUCAAUUUCUGCAGGUUAGUAACACUGUUAAAGUAGUAAAUCCAAGGUUUGCAGAGUCGGUUUUGACGUAUGCGCGCGUAUAUGUCAAACAAUAAAUAUUAUAUAAAUGAUUUAUGACAUUUGAUUUAAUAAAUGAAUAAGAAUUACACAAAUAACUAAAAAUAUAGUGCAUAGAGAUGAACAAGACAAGAUUUAUGAUUGAAAUCUGGUUUUCCAUAUUAAAAUCAUUGUCAGCCGAGAAACAAAAUCUGUGCAAGAUAAAAUAGAAACAUAAA
This is a long non-coding RNA of Monomorium pharaonis (pharaoh ant), 390 nucleotides long. RefSeq lists it as uncharacterized. The transcript is spliced from 2 exons. NCBI's taxonomy places the organism in Eukaryota, Metazoa, Arthropoda, Insecta, Hymenoptera, Formicidae. The record is from RefSeq and is a predicted model, not a curated record.